GAUGAACGCUAGCUACAGGCUUAACACAUGCAAGUCGAGGGGUAACGAGAGGAAAGCUUGCUUUCCUUGUCGACGACCGGCGCACGGGUGAGUAACGCGUAUCCAACCUGCCCCCAACUAGGGAAUAACCUUGCGAAAGUAAGACUAAUACCCUAUAAUUUCCUCAGAUGUCAUCUGACGAGGAAUAAAGAUUUAUCGGUUGUGGAUGGGGAUGCGUCUGAUUAGCUUGUUGGCGGGGUAACGGCCCACCAAGGCAACGAUCAGUAGGGGUUCUGAGGGGAAGGGCCCCCACAUUGGAACGGAGACACGGUCCAAACUCCUACGGGAGGCAGCAGUGAGGAAUAUUGGUCAAUGGGCAGAAGCCUGAACCAGCCAAGUAGCGUGCAGGAUGACGGCCCUAUGGGUUGUAAACUGCUUUUAUACAGGAAUAAAGUUAGCCACGUGUGGUUAUUUGUAGGUACUGUAUGAAUAAGGACCGGCUAAUUCCGUGCCAGCCGCCGCCGUAA
Molecule: ribosomal RNA, 506 nt
Filed under: uncultured bacterium
Lineage: Bacteria
Description: partial 16S ribosomal RNA
Rfam family: Bacterial small subunit ribosomal RNA
Source: RNAcentral